GCAAGUCGAACGAGAAGCACCUUCGGGUGUGGACAGUGGCGCACGGGUGAGGAACACGUGGAUAACCUGCCCUCUAGCGGGGGACAACCAUUGGAAACGAUGGCUAAUACCGCAUAAGACCACAGUACCUGCGGGUACAGGGGUUAAAGAUUUAUCACUAGAGGAUGGGUCCGCGUCCGAUUAGCUUGUUGGUGGGGUAAAGGCCUACCAAGGCGACGAUCGGUAGCUGGUCUGAGAGGAUGAUC
This 245-nucleotide ribosomal RNA is filed under the name uncultured bacterium. Its description in RNAcentral is "partial 16S ribosomal RNA". It matches the Rfam family "Bacterial small subunit ribosomal RNA", at positions 57 to 305 of the family's 1533-position model. The record is from RNAcentral.